AGUGAACGCUGGCGGUAGGCCUAACACAUGCAAGUCGAACGGCAGCACAGUAAGAGCUUGCUCUUACGGGUGGCGAGUGGCGGACGGGUGAGGAAUACAUCGGAAUCUACUUUUUCGUGGGGGAUAACGUAGGGAAACUUACGCUAAUACCGCAUACGACCUACGGGUGAAAGCAGGGGAUCUUCGGACCUUGCGCGAUUGUAUGAGCCGAUGUCGGAUUAGCUAGUUGGCGGGGUAAAGGCCCACCAAGGCGACGAUCCGUAGCUGGUCUGAGAGGAUGAGCAGCCACACUGGAACUGAGACACGGUCCAGACUCCUACGGGAGGCAGCAGUGGGGAAUAUUGGACAAUGGGCGCAAGCCUGAUCCAGCCAUACCGCGUGGGUGAAGAAGGCCUUCGGGUUGUAAAGCCCUUUUGUUGGGAAAGAAAAGCAGCAGGUUAAUACCCCGCUGUUCUGACGGUACCCAAAGAAUAAGCACCGGCUAACUUCGUG
This 492-nucleotide ribosomal RNA is filed under the name uncultured bacterium. RNAcentral describes it as "partial 16S ribosomal RNA". It matches the Rfam family "Bacterial small subunit ribosomal RNA", at positions 29 to 507 of the family's 1533-position model. The record is from RNAcentral.